RNAcentral lists this ribosomal RNA (305 nucleotides) under uncultured bacterium. Its description in RNAcentral is "bacterial SSU rRNA". It matches the Rfam family "Bacterial small subunit ribosomal RNA", at positions 332 to 654 of the family's 1533-position model. The record is from RNAcentral.
UUGGCCCUACGGGAGGCAGCAGUGGGGGAUAUUGCACAAUGGGGGAAACCCUGAUGCAGCGACGCCGCGUGUGGGAAGACGGUCCUCUGGAUUGUAAACCACUGUCCCCAGGGACGAAGAUGACGGUACCUGGGGAGGAAGCUCCGGCUAACUACGUGCCAGCAGCCGCGGUAAUACGUAGGGUGCGAGCGUUAAUCGGAAUUACUGGGCGUAAAGCGCUCGUAGGCGGUAUGUCAAGUCAAGGGUGAAAUCCCCGCGCUCAACGUGGGAACUGCCUUUGAAACUGGCAAACUGGAGUGUGUGAG